RNAcentral lists this long non-coding RNA (211 nucleotides) under Mytilus galloprovincialis (Mediterranean mussel). The record is from RNAcentral. Lineage: Eukaryota; Metazoa; Mollusca; Bivalvia; Mytilida; Mytilidae.
AACAAGAAUGUGUCCUCAGUACACGAAUGCCCCACUCGCACUAUCAUUUUCUAUGUUCAGUGGACCGUGAAAUAUGGGUAAAAUCUCUAAUUUGGCAUUAAAAUUAGAAAGAAUCAUAUCAUAGAACAUGUGUACCAAGUUUGAAGUCGAUUGGACUUCAACUUCAUCAAAAACUACCUCGACCAAAAACUUUAACCUGAAGCGGGACAGA